GACGGAAGGUGCAAGCGUUGCUCGGAAUCACUGGGCGUAAAGAGCGCGCAGGCGGCUGGGCAAGUCCGAUGUGAAAGCUUCCGGCUUAACUGGAAAAUUGCAUCGGAAACUGCUCGGCUUGAAGGUGGGAGAGGGUAGCGGAAUUCCCGGUGUAGUGGUGAAAUGCGUAGAUAUCGGGAGGAACACCAGUGGCGAAGGCGGCUACCUGGCCCAUUCUUGACGCUGAGGCGCGAAAGCUAGGGGAGCAAACGGG
RNAcentral lists this ribosomal RNA (253 nucleotides) under uncultured bacterium. RNAcentral's name for it is "partial 16S ribosomal RNA". It matches the Rfam family "Bacterial small subunit ribosomal RNA", at positions 524 to 776 of the family's 1533-position model. The record is from RNAcentral.